RNAcentral lists this ribosomal RNA (489 nucleotides) under uncultured bacterium. Its description in RNAcentral is "partial 16S ribosomal RNA". It matches the Rfam family "Bacterial small subunit ribosomal RNA", at positions 30 to 506 of the family's 1533-position model. The record is from RNAcentral.
AUUGAACGCUGGCGGCAGGCCUAACACAUGCAAGUCGAACGGUAACAGGAAGAAGCUUGCUUCUUUGCUGACGAGUGGCGGACGGGUGAGUAAUGUCUGGGAAACUGCCUGAUGGAGGGGGAUAACUACUGGAAACGGUAGCUAAUACCGCAUAACGUCGCAGGACCAAAGAGGGGGACCUUCGGGCCUCUUGCCAUCGGAUGUGCCCAGAUGGGAUUAGCUAGUAGGUGGGGUAACGGCUCACCUAGGCGACGAUCCCUAGCUGGUCUGAGAGGAUGACCAGCCACACUGGAACUGAGACACGGUCCAGACUCCUACGGGAGGCAGCAGUGGGGAAUAUUGCACAAUGGGCGCAAGCCUGAUGCAGCCAUGCCGCGUGUAUGAAGAAGGCCUUCGGGUUGUAAAGUACUUUCAGCGGGGAGGAAGGGAGUAAAGUUAAUACCUUUGCUCAUUGACGUUACCCGCAGAAGAAGCACCGGCUAACUCCGU